RNAcentral lists this unclassified non-coding RNA (2406 nucleotides) under Leishmania donovani. RNAcentral's name for it is "gene:LdHU3.22.0760(CDS-product:proteasome_regulat ory_ATPase_subunit_1_putative)". Lineage: Eukaryota; Euglenozoa; Kinetoplastea; Trypanosomatida; Trypanosomatidae. The record is from RNAcentral.
UUGUGUGCCUUGCAGUUGUUUUACGCGUCAUCUGGGGGACGUCUGCGCCAAUUUCUAUCUCUGCUCUCACCUCUGCUCUCCCUCCUUCAUCUACUACUUGAUCGAAGGAGGAGUGCCGCCGCCGCCGCAGCAGCAGCAGACUCGCUCAAGAGCAAAACACAGAUUCAGUGGAAGAAGGAACGAAGGAAAACGAACAUCCUCGGGAUCACUGGGACGUGGGUGAGCUAGGCGGAGAGACAGAGACCCAGACGCAGAGGCAAAAGUACAGAGGGUGCUGCGGACACCCCAUCGCAUACACAUAGCGCCCACCUGCUUCGUCCCCACCGCACUCUCCUCCCUUCAAGUGACACCCAUCGCUCUCCUAGACAGCCAAAACCGGCGCCAUGUCAAACGAGAAGGGCGCGUGCCAGACCAAGAACACGGUCCGCGUGAAGGAGGACGACAAGGAGGAGAAGGAGAUCAUCCCGCUAGACAAGGAUGACAUCGCGCUGCUGAACCUAUACGGCUCCGGCCCCUACCACGCAAGCAUCAAGGAACUCGAGGAGUUUGUGAAGUCGCACGUGGAGGAGCUGAACAAGAUGGGCGGCAUGAAGGAAAGUGAGAUGGGUCUCGCGCCUGCUGUGCAGUGGGACCUGAACAGUGACCAGAAGGUGCUAGAGCGCGAAAAUCCACUGCACGUUGGCCGCUGCGAGCGCAUCCUCAACAAGGGCCAAGACGAUGCCCGAUAUGUGAUCAGCAUCCGCGAGCACGCCAAGUACGUUGUCACUAUCGGCGAGCGUGUUGCACCAGAAGAUAUUGAGGAGUCCAUGCGUGUUGGCAUUGUCAUGGGAUACAGUAAGAUCCAGAUCGAGAUCCCACUGCCGCCGCGCAUCGACCGAUCCGUGUCGAUGAUGCAGGUAGAGGACAAGCCCGACGUGACCUACGCCGACGUCGGCGGUGUCAAGGAGCAGAUUGAACGCAUUCGUGAGGUGGUGGAGCUGCCCAUAACGCACCCGGAGAAGUACACGCAGCUUGGCAUUGAUCCCCCAAAGGGCGUGCUGCUCUAUGGCCCUCCCGGCACCGGCAAGACGCUGCUGGCCAAGGCCGUGGCAAACCGCACGGAUGCCACGUUCAUUCGUGUGAUCGGCUCUGAGCUAGUGCAGCGGUACAUUGGCGAAGGCGCGCGCAUGAUUCGGGAGAUCUUCCAGCUGGCGCGCACAAAGAAGGCGUGCAUUAUCUUCUUCGACGAGGUCGACGCCGUCGGCGGCAGCCGCGGCAGCGGCGACGGCGAUGACGAGAUUCAGCGCACCAUGCUGGAGAUGGUGAAUCAGAUGGACGGCUUCGACUCACGCGGCAACAUCAAGGUAAUCAUGGCGACGAACCGGCCCGACACGCUAGACCCCGCCCUGACCCGGCCGGGGCGCAUGGAUCGCAAGCUGGAGAUUGGCCUGCCGGACUUGGAGGGCCGCACGAACAUCCUGCGCAUCCACUCGCGAUCUCUUUCGUGCGAAAAGGAUGUGCGGUUCGAGUUGAUUGCCAGGCUGUGCCCAAACACCACCGGCGCUGAUCUGCGGUCGGUUUGCACGGAGGCUGGCAUGUUCGCCAUCCGCGCCCGCCGCAAGACAAUCACCGAGAAGGAUUUCUUAGACUCGGUGAACAAGGUAGUGAAAGGCCAGCACAAGUUCAGCGCCACUGCCAAGUACAUGGUGUACAACUAAGCGUCGUAGGGCGGAUACUCUGCGGCGAUGAAAGGAGAGGAGAAGUGGCUGCGCAUAUGUAUGAAUGCUUGCGUGCGCUUGUAUGUGUGGAUGAUGCUGCGUGUGACGCCGAAGCAACGACACUCUCUGUCGAACCGCCACCAGGAAACAGCACAAAACAAACGAUGUCAGUGGCAGAGCAGCGGAGCGCGACAUGCAGCAGAGGGAGUGAGGGGAGGCCAAGUGUAAAUCGAAAAGCGGACAGAACCGGAAGGGCAGUGUGUGCUGGUGGGAGGGGAGGGUGUGCAGGUCGAGGAGAAGACAGUGUCAUAGCAAAUGCACACAGACACACAUACAGCACAUCGCAUGCCCCCCUCCCCACAUCGCCCUCUCGGCCGCUCUCCUGCGACGAUCUUGUUCUCUCUUGGGCUUGUGGCGGUUUUCUGCACAGUGGCGGUCGGUUUCACGUGCCACCGCUUCCGCCCCCCUCCUCCUUCCCGCAAACGUCUUGACAUCACAGCGAGCCGUUUGUUGUCUUUUCUGCGUUUUUAAAAUCAUUAUUCGUAUUGGCGUGUUGUGUGUGUACGAGAUAGAGAGGAAAAAGGCAGCCGUGCACCUUCCGACCUUCCUUGCCCCUCCCCCCCUCCCUCUCCCCCGAUCCCCUCCAGCCUCGCCCCCGAGGCACGCUUCUGUUUUGAUUGGUGCGUUCUCACCAUGAGCAGCAACAAAG